UACAGAGGGUGCUAGCGUUGUUCGGAAUCAUUGGGCGUAAAGGGCGUGUAGGCGGUUUGUUAAGUCAUGUGUGAAAUCCCUCGGCUCAACCGGGGAACGACGCAUGAAACUGGCAAGCUAGAGUACCAAAGAGGGGGGUGGAAUUCCCGGUGUAGCGGUGAAAUGCGUAGAUAUCAGGAGGAAUACCGGUGGUGUAGACGGCUCUCUGGACCGCAACUGACGCUGAGACACGAAAGCGUGGGUAGCAAACAGG
This 253-nucleotide ribosomal RNA is filed under the name uncultured bacterium. RNAcentral's name for it is "partial 16S ribosomal RNA". It matches the Rfam family "Bacterial small subunit ribosomal RNA", at positions 524 to 776 of the family's 1533-position model. The record is from RNAcentral.